GAUUCUGGCUCAGGAUGAACGCUAGCUACAGGCUUAACACAUGCAAGUCGAGGGGCAGCGGGAUUGAAGCUUGCUUCAAUUGCCGGCGACCGGCGCACGGGUGAGUAACGCGUAUCCAACCCUCCGUACACUCAGGGAUAGCCUUUCGAAAGAAAGAUUAAUACCUGAUGGUAUGAUGAGAUUGCAUGGUAUCAUCAUUAAAGAUUUAUCGGUGUACGAUGGGGAUGCGUU
RNAcentral lists this ribosomal RNA (231 nucleotides) under uncultured bacterium. RNAcentral's name for it is "partial 16S ribosomal RNA". It matches the Rfam family "Bacterial small subunit ribosomal RNA", at positions 15 to 237 of the family's 1533-position model. The record is from RNAcentral.